AUGUUGCCUGACAGAAGAGCAUGGAACGAGGAAUUGAUAAGACAAAUCUUUUACCCAUUUGAUGCUGAUGAAUUUUGCAGAAUUAAGAUCCCCAAUGCAGUGGUGGAUGACCGGAUUGCAUGGCAUUAUGAGAGCAAUGGGGUUUUCUCGGUCAAGAGCGCAUACAAAGUGGCUGCCUCCAUUGAACAACAAAACAGGCAUACCCCUGCCAGCUCAUCUAGCUCCCCGGGAGAUCGAAGCAUUUGGGACAUAAUAUGGAAAGCAAAAGUUCCGGAAGAGGUCAAAAUAUUCUGUUGGAGGAUUGCAACGAACACCCUUCCUACAAACAGGUUCCGAAGAACUAUAACACACGAUGCCACAUGCAAUAUCUGCGGCAAUAGAGUGGAAGAUGAGUAUCAUGCUGUGGUAAGGUGCACGAAAAGCAGGGCGCUAAGAUUUGCCAUUAGGAAACUGUGGUAAUUGCCGGCAGAGGAGAAAUUUUGGCACACAGGUGAUGACUGGCUGCAGCUGUUGCUAGGCACGGAACCUGAGGAAUCUCGUCGCAAAAUAAUGUUACUGUUAUGGAGGUGCUGGCACUUGCGGGAUGAUUGUGUGCAUAGUGAAGGCAGAGAAUCUAUUGGGCAAUCAGUGUGCUUCCUACACAAGUACGAGGAAGAUCACCCCAGUUUGGACUAG
RNAcentral lists this ribosomal RNA (675 nucleotides) under Triticum aestivum (bread wheat). RNAcentral's name for it is "partial small subunit ribosomal RNA". The record is from RNAcentral. Lineage: Eukaryota; Viridiplantae; Streptophyta; Magnoliopsida; Poales; Poaceae.